RNAcentral lists this ribosomal RNA (253 nucleotides) under uncultured bacterium. RNAcentral's name for it is "partial 16S ribosomal RNA". It matches the Rfam family "Bacterial small subunit ribosomal RNA", at positions 524 to 776 of the family's 1533-position model. The record is from RNAcentral.
GACGAACCGUGCGAACGUUGUUCGGAAUCACUGGGCUUAAAGGGCGCGUAGGCGGGCUGUCAAGUCUGGGGUGAAAUCCCACGGCUCACCCGUGGAACGGCUGGGUAUACUGGGGGUCUUGAGCCACCUAGGGGCGAGUGGAACAAAUGGUGGAGCGGUGAAAUGCGUAGAUAUCAUUUGGAACGCCAAUGGUGAAAACAACUCGCUGGGGGUGUGCUGACGCUGAGACACGAAAGCCAGGGGAGCGAACGGG